Molecule: unclassified non-coding RNA, 1381 nt
Filed under: Bombus terrestris (buff-tailed bumblebee)
Lineage: Eukaryota; Metazoa; Arthropoda; Insecta; Hymenoptera; Apidae
Description: misc RNA ENSBTSG00005023254.1
Source: RNAcentral
AGAUCCUACUUCUGUAAUUAUAGAUAGGUAUUUAUAAAAAUAUCAUUUUACACCAACAUCCAUGGUCGAACGAUUCGUUAAGAAAACCUGUACGGUUUAAAUUCUUCGAGUUAUGUCAACCUGUUGAAAAAUCAGAAGGAAAAUUAAUAAUUACAAAGGUGAGGAAUUAAUGAAUCAUAAAUUACAGGGAAAAUUACUGUUUAUUUCAUCUGAUUUGAAUAACCGGAACAUGACUGUGGAGCUAUAUUAUACAAUAGUACUUGGAUAUUCAACAAUGAGAAUUCGUGUCGAUAAAUCAGGCUCGAGGAGUAAAGAAGAAGCGGCUUCAGAAGCAGAACGUAAGCGGAUUGGGAAUCUCGAUGGACGGUUAACUAUCGACUAAGCCCGACUUAACUCUGGCAGGUCGGUAAAACCGACAGCAGAGAGCAGAAGCAACGGGUAAACUUACUUGUAUUUCGUCUUGCCGUCCCAGAUUUCUGCCGAUAUUUUCCUCUGACUGAACCAACGACCGUUCAAUAAUUGAAUACAAGCCUGUGCUUCUGCUGGUUCUCGAAAUGUUACCUGGGCAACACCUUCUGGAUGUCUCUGUAAAGAACAAAAAAGGUUCAGUUCAAACUUCUAAACUUUUCCUUCUACAAAAAUUGAAUAAAUAUCACACUGAAAUUAAAUAUCGAACGAAAAGUGUUCGAAUACGUUCAUACGUCACUGUAUGUAAGUAACAGAAGAAACCAACGAUCGUUAUAUCGUUCUUUUCUUUUUCGAAAUUUUAUCUUUCAUACGCUUCGUUCUAACAGAAUUUUGUUACGUUCGUGGUCGUAGAAUUUUGUUGGUUUACUUCAAUUUUCUCGUUUCACUGUUGGAACUUAACUCAAAUCGACAAAAUGUACGCUAUAAUUAAACAAUGGCCUAGUUAGUUAAACCAAGAUAUACGCUCAUCGUCUUUCCAUUCGCAUCACACUCGCUUUUGUACCAAGAUGAAUCCCUGUCUUCCCCUUUUACGACUUGAGGUUGGCCUCGCGUCGCCCACAGUCCCUCACAAUACUUUUCUCGUCUCGGACUUAAACCACAAUUUAUGAGCCUUCGGUUUGAACAUUAAUUUUACUGUCUGACCCCAUGCGCGACAUGAGAUUCUUUGUUCUUUUCUUACGUUGUACCUCGUUAGAUCAAUCGGCACACUCUUCGUUUUAUCCAUUAGCCUUCGUUACAGAUACACGAUAAACAUACGUACGUUCGGAUUUGUAGUUGAAAAAUUGCACGUGCAUACGCUCGAUAAUUACUUUAUAUAUUUUACAAAGUAUAAAUUUAGAAUAAAUCGUUCGAUCGCGCAGAAGUCGCUAAAAAGAAAAGAAAAAAUAAAAGAAGAAAAGACAAAAAAGGAUGG